AUGGCUCAGAUUGAACGCUGGCGGCAGGCCUAACACAUGCAAGUCGAGCGGUAGAGAGAAGCUUGCUUCUCUUGAGAGCGGCGGACGGGUGAGUAAUGCCUAGGAAUCUGCCUGGUAGUGGGGGAUAACGUUCGGAAACGGACGCUAAUACCGCAUACGUCCUACGGGAGAAAGCAGGGGACCUUCGGGCCUUGCGCUAUCAGAUGAGCCUAGGUCGGAUUAGCUAGUUGGUGAGGUAAUGGCUCACCAAGGCGACGAUCCGUAACUGGUCUGAGAGGAUGAUCAGUCACACUGGAACUGAGACACGGUCCAGACUCCUACGGGAGGCAGCAGUGGGGAAUAUUGGACAAUGGGCGAAAGCCUGAUCCAGCCAUGCCGCGUGUGUGAAGAAGGUCUUCGGAUUGUAAAGCACUUUAAGUUGGGAGGA
Molecule: ribosomal RNA, 427 nt
Filed under: Pseudomonas sp. DJ28
Lineage: Bacteria; Pseudomonadati; Pseudomonadota; Gammaproteobacteria; Pseudomonadales; Pseudomonadaceae
Description: bacterial SSU rRNA
Rfam family: Bacterial small subunit ribosomal RNA
Source: RNAcentral